CGAUUGAAGUCAGUCGUGCAGUCAUCAAUUCAGCGGUUAACAUUUUAUGUUUCCGUGUAAUUUGGUGUCUGUUGGUUAGCAUCAAUUUUGAUUGUUAUAAAAAGGUUAAGGGGAUGUGGCUCCUUCGGGAGUGUUAUAACCCUUAGCGUAAUGUGACGAUUAGGAUUGAGGUUUGCAACGAAUACCUUUUGGGCAGUUUCGCUGGCCUCUCGUGGAGCCAUAGAGUGUAAGAGCAUGCU
Molecule: ribosomal RNA, 239 nt
Filed under: uncultured Glomeromycotina
Lineage: Eukaryota; Fungi; Glomeromycota
Description: partial large subunit ribosomal RNA
Source: RNAcentral